AUUGAACGCUGGCGGCAUGCCUUACACAUGCAAGUCGAACGGCAGCACGGGAGCAAUCCUGGUGGCGAGUGGCGAACGGGUGAGUAAAGUAUCGAAACGUGCCCAGUCGUGGGGGAUAACGUAGCGAAAGUUACGCUAAUACCGCAUACGAUCUAUGGAUGAAAGCGGGGGAUCGCAAGACCUCGCGCGAUUGGAGCGGCCGAUAUCAGAUUAGGUAGUUGGUGGGGUAAAGGCUCACCAAGCCGACGAUCUGUAGCUGGUCUGAGAGGACGACCAGCCACACUGGGACUGAGACACGGCCCAGACUCCUACGGGAGGCAGCAGUGGGGAAUUUUGGACAAUGGGCGAAAGCCUGAUCCAGCCAUGCCGCGUGCAGGAUGAAGGCCUUCGGGUUGUAAACUGCUUUUGUACGGAACGAAAAGGUUUGGGCUAAUAAGCUGAGCUCAUGACGGUACCGUAAGAAUAAGCACCGGCUAACUACGUGCCAGCAGCAGCCGCAG
RNAcentral lists this ribosomal RNA (500 nucleotides) under uncultured bacterium. RNAcentral describes it as "partial 16S ribosomal RNA". It matches the Rfam family "Bacterial small subunit ribosomal RNA", at positions 30 to 523 of the family's 1533-position model. The record is from RNAcentral.